RNAcentral lists this ribosomal RNA (610 nucleotides) under uncultured Actinomycetes bacterium. RNAcentral's name for it is "bacterial SSU rRNA". It matches the Rfam family "Bacterial small subunit ribosomal RNA", at positions 834 to 1447 of the family's 1533-position model. The record is from RNAcentral. Lineage: Bacteria; Bacillati; Actinomycetota; Actinomycetes.
ACGGUUUGUGCGACGCAGCUAACGCAUUAAGCGCCCCGCCUGGGGAGUACGAUCGCAAGAUUGAAACUCAAAGGAAUUGACGGGGCCCCGCACAAGCAGCGGAGCAUGCGGCUUAAUUCGACGCAACGCGAAGAACCUUACCAAGGCUUGACAUAUACAGGAAUAUGGCAGAGAUGUCAUAGCCGCAAGGUCUGUAUACAGGUGGUGCAUGGUUGUCGUCAGCUCGUGUCGUGAGAUGUUGGGUUAAGUCCCGCAACGAGCGCAACCCUCGUUCUGUGUUGCCAGCAUUUAGUUGGGGACUCACAGGAGACUGCCGGGGUUAACUCGGAGGAAGGUGGGGAUGACGUCAAAUCAUCAUGCCCCUUAUGUCUUGGGCUGCACGCAUGCUACAAUGGCUGGUACAAACGGCUGCGAUACCGCAAGGUGGAGCGAAUCCGAUAAAGCCAGUCUCAGUUCGGAUUGGGGUCUGCAACUCGACCCCAUGAAGUCGGAGUUGCUAGUAAUCGUAGAUCAGCAACGCUACGGUGAAUACGUUCCCGGGGCUUGUACACACCGCCCGUCACAUCACGAAAGUCGGUAACACCCAAAGUCAGUGGCCCAACCGCAAGGA